GUAGGGAAUAUUGGGCAAUGGUCGGAAGACUGACCCAGCCAUGCCGCGUGCAGGAAGACGGCCCUCUGGGUUGUAAACUGCUUUUAUCUGGGAAGAAAAAGGCCAUGCGUGGCAAAUUCCCGGUACCAGAUGAAUAAGCACCGGCUAACUCCGUGCCAGCAGCCGCGGUAAUACGGCGGGUGCGAGCGUUGUCCGGAUUUAUUGGGCUUAAAGGGUGCGUAGGCGGCUGAUUAAGUCAGCGGUGAAAGACUUCGGCUUAACCGGAGCAGUGCCGUUGAUACUGGUUGGCUUGAGUGUCGGAGGGGUACAUGGAAUUGAUGGUGUAGCGGUGAAAUGCAUAGAUACCAUCAGGAACACCGAUAGCGAAGGCAUUGUACUGGCCGACAACUGACGCUGAUGCACGAAAGUGUGGGGAUCGAACAGGAUUAGAUACCCGGGUAGUCC
RNAcentral lists this ribosomal RNA (444 nucleotides) under uncultured bacterium. Its description in RNAcentral is "partial 16S ribosomal RNA". It matches the Rfam family "Bacterial small subunit ribosomal RNA", at positions 354 to 796 of the family's 1533-position model. The record is from RNAcentral.